Molecule: ribosomal RNA, 253 nt
Filed under: uncultured bacterium
Lineage: Bacteria
Description: partial 16S ribosomal RNA
Rfam family: Bacterial small subunit ribosomal RNA
Source: RNAcentral
UACGAAGGGGGCUAGCGUUGCUCGGAAUCACUGGGCGUAAAGCGCACGUAGGCGGCUUUCUAAGUCAGGGGUGAAAUCCUGGAGCUCAACUCCAGAACUGCCUUUGAUACUGGGAAGCUUGAGUCCGGGAGAGGUGAGUGGAACUCCGAGUGUAGAGGUGAAAUUCGUAGAUAUUCGGAAGAACACCAGUGGCGAAGGCGGCUCACUGGCCCGGUACUGACGCUGAGGUGCGAAAGCGUGGGGAGCAAACAGG